This 2900-nucleotide ribosomal RNA is filed under the name Clostridioides difficile. Its description in RNAcentral is "bacterial LSU rRNA". It matches the Rfam family "Bacterial large subunit ribosomal RNA". Lineage: Bacteria; Bacillati; Bacillota; Clostridia; Peptostreptococcales; Peptostreptococcaceae. The record is from RNAcentral.
UGGUCAAGUUAUUAAGGGUGCAGGGCGGAUGCCUUGGCACUAGGAGCCGAUGAAGGACGUGAUAAGCUGCGAUAAGCUUCGGGGAGUUGCACGUAAACUUUGAUCCGAAGAUUUCCGAAUGAGGAAACUCACUUAGAGUAAUGUCUAAGUAUCAUUAAGUGAAUACAUAGCUUAAUGAGGGGAACUCAGGGAACUGAAACAUCUAAGUACCUGAAGGAAGAGAAAGAAAUUCGAUUCCGUAAGUAGCGGCGAGCGAACGCGGAUUAGCCCAAACCAAUAAAGUUUUCUUUAUUGGGGUUGCGGACAUAUCAUAACGAAGAGGUAUCGUAAUUGAAGAGGUUUGGAAAGACCCACCACAGAAGGUAAUAGUCCUGUAUGUUAAACGAGAAGACUUCAGAUAUGAUCCAGAGUACCACGGGACACGUGAAACCCUGUGGGAAGCAGGAGGGACCACCCUCCAAGGCUAAAUACUACCUAGUGACCGAUAGCGUAUAGUACCGUGAGGGAAAGGUGAAAAGAACCCCGGGAGGGGAGUGAAAUAGAACCUGAAACCCUGCACUUACAAGCUGUGGAAGCACAUUUCUUGUGUGACCGCGUACUUUUUGUAGAACGGGCCAACGAGUUACGUUAAGUAGCAAGGUUAAGCACUUAAGGUGCGGAGCCGUAGCGAAAGCGAGUUUUAACUGAGCGUUCAGUUACUUGACGUAGACCCGAAACCGGGCGACCUACCCAUGAGCAGGAUGAAGCGAAAGUAAAAUUUCGUGGAGGUCCGAACCCACGAGCGUUGAAAAGCUCGGGGAUGACUUGUGGGUAGCGGUGAAAUUCCAAUCGAGCCCGGAGAUAGCUGGUUCUCCCCGAAAUAGCUUUAGGGCUAGCCUCAAGGUGAGAGAUACGGAGGUAGAGCACUGAAUGUCCUAGGGGGUAUUGCACCUACCGAAGACUAUCAAACUCCGAAUGCCGUCAUCUUAUACUUGGGAGUCAGACUGUGGGUGAUAAGAUUCAUAGUCGAAAGGGCAACAGCCCAGAUCGUCAGCUAAGGUCCCUAAAUGUAAGUUAAGUGGUAAAGGAUGUGGGAUUGCACAGACAACCAGGAUGUUGGCUUAGAAGCAGCCAUUCAUUCAAAGAGUGCGUAAUAGCUCACUGGUCGAGUGAUCCUGCGCCGAAGAUUUCCGGGGCUAAAACUUACUACCGAAGCUACGGCAUCAGUAAUGAUGGGUAGGGGAGCUUCCCAUACGGGUUGAAGCAUGACCGUAAGGACAUGUGGACAGUAUGGGAGUGAGAAUGUUGGCAUGAGUAGCGAGAUGUGGGUGAGAAUCCCACAGGCCGUAAACCCAAGGUUUCCAGGGGAAGGUUCGUCCGCCCUGGGUUAGUCGGGACCUAAGCUGAGGCCGAAAGGCGUAGGUGAUGGACAACAGGUUGAUAUUCCUGUACUACCGAUAACCGUUUGAGAGAAGGGAUGACACAGUAGGAUAAGCUAAGCACACUGUUGGUUAUGUGUGCCCAAGCAUUGAGGCAGUCAAAGCAGGCAAAUCCGCUUUGAUAAUGCUGGGAUGUGAUGGGGAGCGAAAUUUAGUAGCGAAGUAGCUGAUUUCACACUGUCAAGAAAAGUCUCUAUCGAGGUUAAAGGUACCCGUACCGCAAACCGACACAGGUGGGUGAGGAGAGUAUCCUAAGGCCAGCGAGAGAACUGUUGUUAAGGAACUCGGCAAAAUGACCCCGUAACUUAGGGAUAAGGGGUGCCACCAUCCGGUGGCCGCAGAGAAUAGGCCCAAGCGACUGUUUACCAAAAACAUAGGUUUCUGCUAAGUCGCAAGACGAUGUAUAGGAGCUGACGCCUGCCCGGUGCUGGAAGGUUAAGGGGAUCUGUUAGAGCAAUCGAAGCAGUGAACUUAAGCCCCAGUAAACGGCGGCCGUAACUAUAACGGUCCUAAGGUAGCGAAAUUCCUUGUCGGGUAAGUUCCGACCCGCACGAAAGGCGUAACGAUUUGGGCACUGUCUCAACAACAGACUCGGUGAAAUUGUAAUUCCGGUGAAGAUGCCGGAUACCUGCGACAGGACGGAAAGACCCCAUGGAGCUUUACUGUAGCUUGACAUUGGGUCUUGGUACUACAUGUACAGGAUAGGUGGGAGGCUUUGAAACCAGGACGCCAGUUUUGGCGGAGCCAUCCUUGGGAUACCACCCUUGUAGUACUGGGACUCUAACCAUAGGCCAUGAAUCUGGUCUUGGGACACUGUCAGGUGGGCAGUUUGACUGGGGCGGUCGCCUCCCAAAAGGUAACGGAGGCGCUCAAAGGUUCUCUCAGUACGGUCGGAAAUCGUACGUAGAGUGUAAAGGCAAAAGAGAGCUUGAUUGCAAGACAUACAGGUCGAGCAAGGAUGAAAAUCGGACUUAGUGAUCCGGUGGUUCUGCGUGGAAGGGCCAUCGCUCAACGGAUAAAAGCUACCCUGGGGAUAACAGGCUUAUCUCCCCCAAGAGUCCACAUCGACGGGGAGGUUUGGCACCUCGAUGUCGGCUCAUCACAUCCUGGGGCUGUAGUAGGUCCCAAGGGUUGGGCUGUUCGCCCAUUAAAGUGGUACGCGAGCUGGGUUCAGAACGUCGUGAGACAGUUCGGUCCCUAUCCGUCGCAGGCGUAGGAAAUUUGAGAAGACCUGUCCUUAGUACGAGAGGACCGGGAUGGACGUACCUCUGGUGUACCAGUUGUUCUGCCAAGGGCAUGGCUGGGUAGCUAUGUACGGAAUGGAUAAGCGCUGAAAGCAUCUAAGCGCGAAGCCAACUUCAAGAUAAGAUUUCCCACCGCAAGGGUAAGACCCCAGAAAGACUAUCUGGUUGAUAGGUCGAAGGUGUAAGUGCAGCAAUGUAUUUAGCUUAUCGAUACUAAUAGGUCGAGGACUUGACCAAU